Molecule: ribosomal RNA, 253 nt
Filed under: uncultured bacterium
Lineage: Bacteria
Description: partial 16S ribosomal RNA
Rfam family: Bacterial small subunit ribosomal RNA
Source: RNAcentral
GACGAGGGGUCCAAGCGUUGUUCGGAAUUAUUGGGCGUAAAGGGCCCGUAGGCGGCCAACUAAGUCCGACGUGAAAUCCCCGGGCUUAACCUGGGAAUGGCGUCUGAAACUACGGAGCUGGAGUGCGGCAGAGGGAGGUAGAAUUCCACGUGUAGCGGUGAAAUGCGUAGAUAUGUGGAGGAAUACCGAUGGCGAAGGCAGCCUCCUGGGCCAACACUGACGCUCAUGCACGAAAGCGUGGGGAGCAAACAGG